Molecule: long non-coding RNA, 358 nt
Filed under: Homo sapiens (human)
Lineage: Eukaryota; Metazoa; Chordata; Mammalia; Primates; Hominidae
Description: non-protein coding lnc-UBXN11-1:1
Source: RNAcentral
AUGCCUGGCUAUAAGCUGGCUUUAAUCUUGACAGCCAUGCCGCAGCCAGAGACUACUGCUGCUUUGAAAAGUAUGAUACAAGCCCUGAUGAACAGAGGAGCAAUAGUGAGGGACUUGCAAAACCUGGGCAAAUGAGCACUUCCUUAUAAGAUCUUCGUCAACAGCACAGCAGAGGUGGGUAUUUCUUGGUGAAUUUUUAUGCACCAACCACAACUGUUGAAAGCAUGAUGGAGCACUUGUCUAGAGAUGUAGAUGUGAUUGGACAGAGUACUGUAAAACAUCCCAGGAACUAAAAGAAUAUGAAGAGAUUGUCCUAGUCUCACUUGAAGAAAAACUGUAUUCCACAAAGCAGCAGCAG